RNAcentral lists this ribosomal RNA (426 nucleotides) under Vibrio alginolyticus. RNAcentral's name for it is "bacterial SSU rRNA". It matches the Rfam family "Bacterial small subunit ribosomal RNA", at positions 258 to 676 of the family's 1533-position model. Lineage: Bacteria; Pseudomonadati; Pseudomonadota; Gammaproteobacteria; Vibrionales; Vibrionaceae. The record is from RNAcentral.
UAAGGGCUCACCAAGGCGACGAUCCCUAGCUGGUCUGAGAGGAUGAUCAGCCACACUGGAACUGAGACACGGUCCAGACUCCUACGGGAGGCAGCAGUGGGGAAUAUUGCACAAUGGGCGCAAGCCUGAUGCAGCCAUGCCGCGUGUGUGAAGAAGGCCUUCGGGUUGUAAAGCACUUUCAGUCGUGAGGAAGGUGGUAGUGUUAAUAGCACUAUCAUUUGACGUUAGCGACAGAAGAAGCACCGGCUAACUCCGUGCCAGCAGCCGCGGUAAUACGGAGGGUGCGAGCGUUAAUCGGAAUUACUGGGCGUAAAGCGCAUGCAGGUGGUUUGUUAAGUCAGAUGUGAAAGCCCGGGGCUCAACCUCGGAAUAGCAUUUGAAACUGGCAGACUAGAGUACUGUAGAGGGGGGUAGAAUUUCAGGUGU